This is a long non-coding RNA of Bombus pyrosoma, 5434 nucleotides long. RefSeq lists it as uncharacterized. The record is from RefSeq and is a predicted model, not a curated record. The transcript is spliced from 2 exons. Lineage: Eukaryota; Metazoa; Arthropoda; Insecta; Hymenoptera; Apidae.
AGAUCAAUUAUCAACGACGACGAAGAAUUUAUUUAAUGUAAGAAAUCUUCCUGCGAUGUCUUCUAAUUCUAUCGAAAGCUUUCUAAGUCUUUCUAUGUAGAAAUAGUUGAUGUCUCACCGAAAUAAAUUGUCUCGAAGAUGUAACGUGAUAGAGGUGUACGAUGGAUACUGACUUUGAAGAGAUUCAUAGUUCUGUCGUAUUGUCAGAGGGACAAUUCCGCAGCGGAGCAAUGGUUGGACGUAAACAGCGACGUGUCCCAGUUCUUCGAAUCCCGAAUUGGAUGCUAAUGAGUCGCGCGUCAAUGGAAAUUCUCGGAGGAGGCCUUCACGCCUUCAUUCAAGGAACCUUUUACCUCGUCAUACCUUUCUUCUUUUUCCCUUUGGAACGUCGUUUCUUUUAAAUAUUUCAUUAACUCGGAGCUUCUUUUAAACGACUUUCAAGGAUAACUCUUUUUGAGAGAUCUAAAAUCUUUCGGGCGAAUCUUCUAAUUCUGCUUAGAAUUUUUCUUUGAAUUCCUCAAAGAUAUAGCAACUCUUUCUAUAAGGUUCUUUCUCAAGGGUCUUCUUAGCUGGAAAUUUUUUCUCCAACCUUAAAAAGUGUAAUACUCUUCUUUUAAAAAAUUUCUGCAGGAAAAUUCAAAAAUUCUGAAAGAUUGUCCUCUACAACUUCCUUCAAAUCCCCCCUUAAUUAAGAAUCUUCUUCGAAUCCUUUAAUUCAAAAUUCUCUGCGAAUUCUCGUCUAAUUUAAAGGAACUUCGAAAAAAGAUGAUAUAUUUGCCAGUGUCUUGGUGAUUUUCUUCGGGUCUGAAGAUUUCACUGAAAUAAAAAACGUUUCGACGAUCAGUGAUUAUCCCCGAUAUAACUGGUAAUCAUCGAGACACUUUCUCUCUUUUUUAGCCAGUUUCUAUUCCGCGCGUCACGACGAUGACGAACGCGCCCGUGAUCAUCGUUCCUCAGGGCGAUCGAAUCGUGCCACGCGGCCCUCGGUUAAUUGCCAAGCGCUUCGAUAACGGUAAUUAUCUUAAUCACGAGCUGCGGUCGAAUCGAAACACCUGGAUCGACUGGUAGUCCCGUCGUCCACCCACGUUGUGGCCUCUUCCUCGAGACGAAGGCGAGCUGGAAAGCGAGCCGAUGCGUGUGCCACUUUUUUAUACCACUGCUUGUGUCCGUUACACGAAAUUCUUCGUCUGUUCGAUGCACUAAUUAUUCUUUAAUUUAAUGCUAGAUGAAUUUUAAACGAGAUUUCCAGCUCUUUUUCGUCUCAAUUAGUUCUUCUCAGUAAUCUCUAUUUCUUUGAUCGAUUUUUAAUAGGAUUUUGUUAAUAGACUUCUACCUCUAUUUUGUUGAUUCUCAGGAGGAAGUGCAACAAGCUGGUAAUUUUUAAAAUAAUGACUACUUGUUUCCAAUUUUAUAGAAGUAUCAUAUAGUGUAUUUUGCUCUUUCUGGUGAAUUCCUGGAACGGUUCCAAGGAAAUAAUCUUUAUUGUUUACAGUAAUAAUAAACUUCAAGAAGAUUUGUUCAUAGCGAUUGUUAUUUAUAAACACACAGAUUUAUUUUCCGUAUAUUUCUUCAAUAAUCAACUCGGUCUUUCAGAAACAAUUCGUCCUUCACUUGAAUCAAUCGAAUAAAGUCUUAUACUUCUUCUAAUUAUAAUUAUAUUUAUAAUCAUAAAGAGAAUGAAAAUAAUAGUUGCAAUUUUCUAUUGUUUUCUGUUAUGCUUUAACGUAUCUAUAAAUUUUCUACAAAACUAUGUUCCUUCGAUAUCCUUUGCACCAACUUCUUAUCCUUCGCAUCUAGCAAAUCUAUGCUUCAAUACUUGUCGUCUUGCUCUUUCAUAUAUAACUGAGACUCCUUCGAGUUCUAAGAAUACUUUUCAUCGACCGACCAUAUGACGCAGUCUACGUAAUUAAUUAAUGACGCAAAUAAAUCACAUAAUUAAUUCAAUCAGGUGACAGGACAGUGUCUGAAGAGGCAGAAUUAUUAAACGAAGAAAACAGUUGUUUACAGAGGAUUCACAGUCCAGUCACUUUGGAUAAAUAACUGUACGGCUACGUUUGUCGAAUUUCAACGCAUCUCACGAGUAAUCGUCGCCGUUUACGUUCCACAAUCAACCGAUUAUGUAAUAUCACUGUAAGCAAACGUGACGCUUUCCAGUCGUGAUACAUUCACGCAAGCGGAACGCCGUGCCGCUUCAGAUUCCUCGCGUUACUCACAUGCUUCUGUUCCCUCAGAGGAAGAAAUUAUUGUAGAAUCGCGGAUAAUUUAAUAUGGAUGAGCAUCCUCUUUCCUCUCAUUUAUCUAUUCAUUCAUGACAGUAUUUACAUAAGAUACAUCCGUAUAUUUUUCUUUUGCAUUGAUUGUAUAGGAAAUUCUUUGAAAUCCACAGCUAUAUCUGGAGGUUUCCUCUUUCAAAAUAUCGUAGGUAUCGUGGAAGACUAGUCGUAGAAGUCGUUUGAAGACUAAAGAUAUUUCCCUACCUUGUUAAUCUUUUAGAAUUCUUGGCAUUUUAAAAAAUUCAAAUACUUGCAGUAAGUUGCUUCCAAAUUGAAUCAGUAGUUUUUUAAACACCAAAGAUUUCUUGGUAAUCUUUGAAAUUCUGUAAAAUAUUUGUAACAAGCUCCUUUUCCAAAAUGAAUAUAGAAUUCUUCGAAAUCCAAAGAUCUUUUCUCUUAUUAAUUCUUCAGCAUUCAUCAAGUUCUUGAAACUCCAAAUAAAUACUUGCAAGCUGUUCUUUCAAAUUAGACGCGAAAUCCUGAAAAAUUCAAUGAAAGUUGACUUAUAAUCAAUUUGAAUAAUACUAGAGAUUUAUUUAUUAUCCAUUUCUUGAAGGUUCAUGUGAGUUAAUGUGGAAGAAGAUCAUUCAUUAGGAGAUCAUCUUUCUUGGUUUAUUACUUGAAACGUCGAGACAGGAUAGUGGAUUGAGAGCACGUGCUUGGUCUCUAUCAGCUCUUACAUAAGAAGAAUUAUAGUGGCGUUUCUCUGGACCGUAUUACCUAGUGAAAAUUAUGCACGCGAACCUCAAGGCGCAUCCGGUCGCAAAUCUAUGAAACCUCCGUUUGUUAGUCCGAUAAUUGGUCUUAUUUUCUCACGGAUACAUGAUGCCACAAUCGUUCUCCAAUUCUUCUUCUCUAUUUGUUCAAACACUUUCGACUCAUUCGUAGAUCUUCACAAGGUAUGUCACAAACUUACAAAGUAUCUAUCUAAUUCAUUGCUUGAUAAAGCUUCUUAAAAUAAAAUGUAAGUGUUUCAGGAUCUAUACAAAAAUGUAGAAGAUUUUUAAUAAUCUUCAAGUAUUUCAGUUCACCAAAUCCUUAGAUAGCUUCUAUAGUUUCUUCAAGUUCUUAAAACCGUAUUACCAAGAUACCUUUGAUAAUUCAUCAUGCGUGUGAAAAUAUCUCUCUUAGAAUAAAUCUCUUCGCUUAACUCCUUUCAGAUCCCUCCACUUUCAAGAUCAUCAAAGUCUACUAACUCUUCCCUUCGUCGAUGGAAAUUUCAACGUACGCACUUGUCGAACGAUGAAUGAACAACAGAGCGAUCGCUACUAGGCUCACCAAGUUCGACCUCCUAUAGAACACGACGCUUGGCGUCCACCAGCACACUGGAAUGCAGACCGACAGGUUUUGAACCGCGAUAAAGUAUAGUAACGACGUGUGCUUCGAUCUAGGUACUCACGUGCAGGUUGGUACAUUGCGGUGCAAUCACGUGACUCACUGCCAUUUCAAAUCUGACAAUAAAGCGGAUGUGUUUUAUCAAAAAUUAAACACCAUAAAAAUGAUCGAAUGUAAAGAAAAAGUUAAAAUUUAGUUUACAUUAUGAGUUUAUAAAUGACUUGGUUAACUUCAGGGUGAUCAUGAAGGAGAAAUUUUUCACUGUAGGUUCAGAUAUCCUGCGCGAUACGCUUCUGUACAUAGCGCCACCUUCGAAAUUCGAAACGCGCCAACUACGAUUUUAUAAAUAAAAACUGUAUGUCACUUUUAAUCAGCAGAAAGAAUUAUUAAUUAUUAAUAUGAUAGACGUAAAUAAUUUAAGAGUUGAAAUAUAGAAAUAUAUAUUAAUAUAUUGUAUUCAAAGUAACAUUAAUUAACAACAAUUGAUCUUUGUCUUCUUCUUUCUUACACUUUUUUUACGAUUAAUAAUUUCUUUCAUGAUUAUAUAUAUAUUAUAUAUAUAGGUAGUUGCAUGUCGUAGCAUGUCAUUGAAAAGGAUGCAAAUUUAAAUAACCAAUUCUGCGCAUGUUUGAUUUUUUCACAUUCUUUUCAUUAAUAAAGGUCUGUUUUGGUUACAAUCUAAAAUAUUAAAUAUUCUUUACUCAAUUAUGUAAGCAAGGUCAAAAACUUAACAAACAUUUUACAAUGUAUUCCGUUUUAAAAUGAGUAAUAAUUAUAUUAAUAUUAAUAUUAAUAAUAAUAAUAAUAAUAAUAAUAAUAAUAAUAAUAAUAAUAUUACAUAUUACGCCAACAAAAUUCGUACAAUAUACAACUUGUAGAUAUACAUAUAAAUAAACAUCUGUUCCUCAAAAUAAAUGAUUUCUGCGUUUGGCACGAUGUCAUGUAAUGGAAGCAAAUUAAACACCAUGUUACAUUUUGAUUGUCCGUGGCUAGUCGCGAUGCAAUGAAUUAUUAUGAUUUGCUUCUUAUAUCUGAUGUUUCUUUUCCUUUUUCUCUUUUUUUUCGGUGUUGUCGAUGGUGUUUUAAUUUUAUGUAUAUCAGCCGGCCCCAUUUGAUAUAGGAAACAACGACGAUUUUAAUGUUACGUUAAAUAAUAAUUUGUAUGCCUUUAAGAAUUACGCUGGCUCACGAAAAUGAUGAUUUUAUAUCGCAAUAUACGCUACAAUAAUACUUCAUAAAAAAUACUCUAUAAGUUAACCAUCUUGUACGAUUAGAGUUUUACAAUUUUUUUAUACUUAUUUCUCUCUAUACAAACGCGCGAUGUAACAUUGACUUGUAUCAUAGUAGAUGAAGGUAUAUCGUUUUUAUUUUGUACGGACCGGCUGACUAACGAGUAUUCUGCCCAAUGUCAGGAUCAACUGGUAUAUAUUGCUUUAUGUUCACUUUGCUAAUCGAUUAUUCUAAUUUGUAACGAUGAUCGAUUAGCUACGUUACUAUUAUUAUAAAUGGCAUCCCACCCCCUAAUUUAUUUAGAUUAGAAUAAACUACAUGGAAGAACAGAUCUUCAGUCAUAGCAAACAAAAGCUAGGACUAAAAAUUUCAACAAAUAGUGUGAAAACUUGUGAUAUUACUUUCAAUAUAUAUAUAAUAGAAUAUCUAUAAUAUAUUGCUAAUUUUAAAGAUGCCAGUUUCGUCUAUCUAGAUCAGAAUGUUUAGGUGUCAGCAAGAAUGCCAAUUAAUAAUAUCAGAGAAGUGUCAAGAACACUUACUCUUUCUUUUCUUAUUUCCUCUCUUUCUCUCUUCCCCUCUCCCCCUAAAGAAUAAAA